CCUGGUUGAUCCUGCCAGUAGUCAUAUGCUUGUCUCAAAGAUUAAGCCAUGCAUGUCUAAGUGCAUGCCAAAUUAAGGUGAAACCGCGAAUGGCUCAUUAAAUCAGUUAUGGUUCCUUAGAUCGUACCCACAUUUACUUGGAUAACUGUGGUAAUUCUAGAGCUAAUACAUGCAAACCAGAGUUCCGACCAGAGAUGGAAGGAACGCUUUUAUUAGAUCAAAACCAAUCGGUGGCGGGCUUUGCUCGUCCACCGUUUACUUUGGUGACUCUGAAUAACUUUGUGCUGAUCGCACGGUCUCGUACCGGCGACGCAUCUUUCAAAUGUCUGCCUUAUCAACUGUCGAUGGUAGGUUCUGCGCCUACCAUGGUUGUAACGGGUAACGGGGAAUCAGGGUUCGAUUCCGGAGAGGGAGCCUGAGAAACGGCUACCACAUCCAAGGAAGGCAGCAGGCGCGCAAAUUACCCACUCCCGGCACGGGGAGGUAGUGACGAAAAAUAACGAUACGGGACUCAUCCGAGGCCCCGUAAUCGGAAUGAGUACACUUUAAAUCCUUUAACGAGGAUCAAUUGGAGGGCAAGUCUGGUGCCAGCAGCCGCGGUAAUUCCAGCUCCAAUAGCGUAUAUUAAAGUAGUUGCGGUUAAAAAGUUCGUAGUUGAAUCUGUGCCGCACGCUGUCGGUUCGCCGCUCGCGGUGUAUUAACUGACAUGCUCGUGAGACGUCCUACCGGUGGGCUUAGCUCCUUCGGGGGCGGUCCAACUAAUAUCCCAUCGCGGUGCUCUUUAUUGAGUGUCGAGGUGGGCCGGUACGUUUACUUUGAACAAAUUAGAGUGCUUAAAGCAGGCUAUCAUUUGCCUGAAUAUUCUGUGCAUGGAAUAAUGGAAUAGGACCUCGGUUCUAUUUUGUUGGUUUUAAGAAACCCGAGGUAAUGAUUAAUAGGGACAGAUGGGGGCAUUCGUAUUGCGACGUUAGAGGUGAAAUUCUUGGAUCGUCGCAAGACGGACAGAAGCGAAAGCAUUUGCCAAAAAUGUUUUCAUUAAUCAAGAACGAAAGUUAGAGGUUCGAAGGCGAUCAGAUACCGCCCUAGUUCUAACCAUAAACGAUGCCAGCUAGCGAUCCGCCGAAGUUCCUCCGAUGACUCGGCGGGCAGCUUCCGGGAAACCAAAGCUUUUGGGUUCCGGGGGAAGUAUGGUUGCAAAGCUGAAACUUAAAGGAAUUGACGGAAGGGCACCACCAGGAGUGGAGCCUGCGGCUUAAUUUGACUCAACACGGGAAACCUCACCAGGCCCGGACACCGGAAGGAUUGACAGAUUGAGAGCUCUUUCUUGAUUCGGUGGGUGG
Molecule: ribosomal RNA, 1340 nt
Filed under: Leptopilina clavipes
Lineage: Eukaryota; Metazoa; Arthropoda; Insecta; Hymenoptera; Figitidae
Description: SSU rRNA
Rfam family: Eukaryotic small subunit ribosomal RNA
Source: RNAcentral